AGCGAACGCUGGCGGCAUGCCUAACACAUGCAAGUCGAACGAGAUCCUUCGGGGUCUAGUGGCGCACGGGUGCGUAACGCGUGGGAAUCUGCCCUUAGGUUCGGAAUAACAGUUAGAAAUGACUGCUAAUACCGGAUGAUGACGUUAAGUCCAAAGAUUUAUCGCCUGAGGAUGAGCCCGCGUAGGAUUAGCUAGUUGGUGUGGUAAAGGCGCACCAAGGCGACGAUCCUUAGCUGGUCUGAGAGGAUGAUCAGCCACACUGGGACUGAGACACGGCCCAGACUCCUACGGGAGGCAGCAGUGGGGAAUAUUGGACAAUGGGCGCAAGCCUGAUCCAGCAAUGCCGCGUGAGUGAUGAAGGCCUUAGGGUUGUAAAGCUCUUUUACCCGGGAUGAUAAUGACAGUACCGGGAGAAUAAGCCCCGGCUAACUCCGUG
Molecule: ribosomal RNA, 436 nt
Filed under: uncultured bacterium
Lineage: Bacteria
Description: partial 16S ribosomal RNA
Rfam family: Bacterial small subunit ribosomal RNA
Source: RNAcentral